CUCAGGGAGGUAGUGACAAGAAAUAACAACACUGGAAAUUUUAUUUCUAGUGACUGGAAUGAUGGGAAUUUAAACCCCUUUCAGAGUAACAAUUGGAGGGCAAGUCUGGUGCCAGCAGCCGCGGUAAUUCCAGCUCCAAUAGCGUAUAUUAAAGUUGUUGCAGUUAAAAAGCUCGUAGUUGGAUGUCUGCUGGAAGCAAUCAGUCCGCCCUAUUUGUAGGGUGUGCACUUGAUGAAUUCUGGCAUUUUUGUCCCAAUGAUGUAACGGGGCGGUGGUACUCGGUGAAAGCCGAGUAUCCUGUUUUCCGAUUAUUGGGAUACUGUUACUUUGAGAAAAUUAGAGUGUUUGAAGCAGGCUAAUUGCCUUGAAUACUGCAGCAUGGAAUAACAAUAUAGGAUUUCGGUUCUAUUUUGUUGGUUUCUAGGACUGAAAUAAUGAUUAAUAGGGACAGUUGGGGGCACUCGUAUUUAACUGUCAGAGGUGAAAUUCUUAGAUUUGUUAAAGACGAACUACUGCGAAAGCAUUUGCCAAAGAUGUUUUCAUUAAUCAAGAACGAAAGUUAGGGGCUCGUAGACGAUCAGAUACCGUCGUAGUCUUAACCAUAAACUAUGCCGACUAGAGAUAGGAAAAUGUCAUUUUGCUGACUU
RNAcentral lists this ribosomal RNA (647 nucleotides) under Sarcocystis tenella. RNAcentral describes it as "SSU rRNA". It matches the Rfam family "Eukaryotic small subunit ribosomal RNA", at positions 455 to 1077 of the family's 1831-position model. Lineage: Eukaryota; Apicomplexa; Conoidasida; Eucoccidiorida; Sarcocystidae. The record is from RNAcentral.